AGGUUUAAAAACGGUCGUCACUCAGCUUUCCCGGAUCAGAUAUGGCUGAACAUAGCUGAAUGGAAUAACUUGACUUAAACUGACAAUCGGGACACUUUUGAAUCCAAAUGAAACCCAACUCUGGAAUCGGACUCAAAACAAAUUUCGGGGAAAGCUGAAGAAGGCAAUAUGCUGAAACGCCAUCCUUUAUGUGACUACCCCUGCUAUGGACCAAUAAAUCUAUGUGAUGUUGCAUCUUUGGACAAUCGGGACACUUUUGAAUCCAAAUGAAACCCAACUCUGGAAUCGGACUCAAAACAAAUUUGGGGGAAGGCUGAAGAAGGCAAUAUGCCUAAAUGCGUCCAUUAAUGUGACUACCCCUGCUAUGGAUCAAUAAAUCUAUGUGAUGUUGCAUCAUUGGUGAGUGCUGGGUAUUUGUUCUACUUUCAGGACAA
Long non-coding RNA from Hyla sarda, 434 nucleotides. RefSeq lists it as uncharacterized. NCBI's taxonomy places the organism in Eukaryota, Metazoa, Chordata, Amphibia, Anura, Hylidae. The record is from RefSeq and is a predicted model, not a curated record. The transcript has 3 exons.